UACGAAGGCAGCAGUGGGGAAUAUUGCACAAUGGGCGCAAGCCUGAUGCAGCCAUGCCGCGUGUAUGAAAAAGGCCUUCGGGUUGUAAAGUACUUUCAGUCGUGAGGAAGGUGUUAAGGUUAAUAACCUUAGCAAUUGACGUUAGCGACAGAAGAAGCACCGGCUAACUCCGUGCCAGCAGCCGCGGUAAUACGGAGGGUGCGAGCGUUAAUCGGAAUUACUGGGCGUAAAGGGCACGCAGGCGGUUAAUUAAGUUGGAUGUGAAAUCCCCGGGCUUAACCUGGGAAUGGCAUUCAAGACUGGUUAGCUAGAGUCUUGUAGAGGGGGUAGAAUUCCAUGUGUAGCGGUGAAAUGCGUAGAGAUGUGGAGGAAUACCGGUGGCGAAGGCGGCCCCUGGCAAAGACUGACGCUCAUGUGCGAAAGCGUGGGGAGCGAAACAGGGAUUAGAUACC
Molecule: ribosomal RNA, 452 nt
Filed under: uncultured bacterium
Lineage: Bacteria
Description: bacterial SSU rRNA
Rfam family: Bacterial small subunit ribosomal RNA
Source: RNAcentral